RNAcentral lists this ribosomal RNA (497 nucleotides) under uncultured bacterium. RNAcentral describes it as "partial 16S ribosomal RNA". It matches the Rfam family "Bacterial small subunit ribosomal RNA", at positions 28 to 507 of the family's 1533-position model. The record is from RNAcentral.
GAUGAACGCUGGCGGCGUGCCUAAUACAUGCAAGUCGAGCGAACGGACGAGAAGCUUGCUUUUCUGAUGUUAGCGGCGGACGGGUGAGUAACACGUGGAUAACCUACCUAUAAGACUGGGAUAACUUCGGGAAACCGGAGCUAAUACCGGAUAAUAUUUUGAACCGCAUGGUUCAUAAGUGAAAGACGGUCUUGCUGUCACUUAUAGCUGGAUCCGCGCUGCAUUAGCUAGUUGGUAAGGUAACGGCUUACCAAGGCAACGAUGCAUAGCCGACCUGAGAGGGUGAUCGGCCACACGGGAACUGAGACACGGUCCAGACUCCUACGGGAGGCAGCAGUAGGGAAUCUUCCGCAAUGGGCGAAAGCCUGACGGAGCAACGCCGCGUGAGUGAUGAAGGUCUUCGGAUCGUAAAACUCUGUUAUUAGGGAAGAACAUAUGUGUAAGUAACUGUGCACAUCUUGACGGUACCUAAUCAGAAAGCCACGGCUAACUACGUG